RNAcentral lists this small RNA (507 nucleotides) under Pan troglodytes (chimpanzee). Its description in RNAcentral is "retained intron". The record is from RNAcentral. Lineage: Eukaryota; Metazoa; Chordata; Mammalia; Primates; Hominidae.
GUCUCGUGGCGGCGCGUGUUGGGUCUGCGUUUCCCCUCUGGGGAGCUUGGGCAGCAUGAGCCCAGGGCUGUGGACAGCCUGGUGCUCACGGGUUUGUGGCUCCACAGACUUCCCAAGAAGGACAACCCGAGGCGAGGCUUGUGGCUGGCCAACUGCCAGCGGCUGGACCCCAGCGGCCAGGGCCUGUGGGACCCGGCAUCCGAGUACAUCUACUUCUGCUCCAAACACUUUGAGGAGAACUGCUUUGAGCUGGUGGGAAUCAGUUGCGCCGGACAACCAAGACCAAAGGACACAGUUAUCCACCUGGCCCCCCUGAAGUCAGCCGGCUCAGACGAUGCAGGAAGCGCUGCUCCGAGGGCCGAGGGCCCACAACUCCAUUUUCUCCACCUCCACCUGCUGAUGUCACCUGCUUUCCUGUGGAAGAGGCCUCAGCACCUGCCACUUUGCCGGCCUCCCCAGCUGGGAGGCUGGAGCCUGGCCUUAGCAGCCCCUUUUCAGACCUACUGG